UGUACGUCCUUGGCAUGUGGGAGGAAGGCUAAGAAGACUCAGUGAAAACCCACGCAGACACUGGGAGAAUGUGCAAACACCACAGGGCAGAGUGACUGGUUGGAAGACAUAUAAGUUAUUCAUGAAAAUACCUGGAUUGAAUUGUUUCAGAUGCUGACACAAAUUCUGUCACAGCACCAAUCCUCCCUUCCCCCCUGUUCUUAGUAGCUGGCUGGCAGGAUAGCAGACCUCUUUGAAUAUUCAUUGAAAUUCUCUCGGCGUAUUGACUUGCUGUCAUCCAGGAUGCGCAAUUUAGGCUACAGUCGCCAGGCCCGUCUUCAGCUGAGUCCCUGCGCACGUAGAGGAUGCCUCUGUGUUAUCAGAUGAGGACAUGGAUUGAAAUAUUUACAGAGCUGACAGCCAGGCUCUUGAGCUUCACUGAGAUUGGCAGAGAAAGGUAAAAAGAAGAGCAAAAACAGCCAUGAAAACACAAGCUAAUCACCAGUCCUUCAGGUAUACACAACACAGCUGAUUCUGUGAGCAUCCAAGAGUGCAGAUCAGUUAGAAUGACGUCUCCGCGAUUGAUCACAAGUCCUCAGCUGACAGCUCCUUUAUUGAGCUCGAUUUCAAAUUUAAAGAUUCUCUGGCCAUUCAGCUUUCACCUUUUUGAAUUAAUUAUAUUGUGUACACUUGAACAGAUAUGAUUUCCUUAGACAAUUUUAACUUCACGGGAAAGAAAUGUUCACAGAAACAGAAUAAAUUAACAUGAUAAUAGAAAUAAACUGUUGAACAUUGCCAUUUCCUAAUCUUGCAUCACAAUGUUGUUUAACAAUACAGUGUUUUUUUUAAUUUGUUUUGUUGUUUAAGUUAGAUUAUUUCAAAGAGCAAUAUGUAAUAUGGCUACAGUGGAUUCAUGGAAGCA
Molecule: long non-coding RNA, 901 nt
Organism: Polypterus senegalus (gray bichir)
Lineage: Eukaryota; Metazoa; Chordata; Cladistia; Polypteriformes; Polypteridae
Exons: 3
Source: RefSeq, a predicted model, not a curated record